RNAcentral lists this ribosomal RNA (465 nucleotides) under uncultured bacterium. RNAcentral's name for it is "partial 16S ribosomal RNA". It matches the Rfam family "Bacterial small subunit ribosomal RNA", at positions 28 to 507 of the family's 1533-position model. The record is from RNAcentral.
GAUGAACGCUGGCGGCGUGCCUAACACAUGCAAGUCGAGCGGAGAAUUGUUGCUUGCCACCCUUCUUAGCGGCGGACGGGUGAGUAACACGUGGGUAACCUGCCCUAAACAAAGGGAUAACAAUGAGAAAUCAUUGCUAAUACCGUAUAAGCUUACACUAUCGCAUGAUAGAGUAAGAAAAGAUUUAUCGGUUUAGGAGGGGCCCGCGUCUGAUUAGCUAGUUGGAGAGGUAACGGCUCACCAAGGCGACGAUCAGUAGCCGACCUGAGAGGGUGAUCGGCCACAGUGGGACUGAGGCACGGCACAAACUCCUACGGGAGGCAGCAGGGGGGAAUAUUGCACAAUGGAGGAAACUCUGAUGCAGCAACGCCGCGUGAAGGAAGAAGGUUUUCGGAGCGUAAACUUCUAUCUACAGGGAAGAAAAAAAUGACGGUACCUGAGGAAGAAGCCCCGGCUAACUACGUG